GUCGUACGAGAGUUUUUACUCAAGUGGCGGACGGGUGAGUAACACGUAAGAAUUUGCCUUUAGGAGGGGGACAACAACUGGAAACGGUUGCUAAUACCCCAUAUGCUUUCGAGUGAAAUGGUUUUUCCGCCUAAAGAGAAGCUUGCGGCUGAUUAGCUUGUUGGUAAGGUAAUGGCUUACCAAGGCGACGAUCAGUAUCUGGUUUGAGAGGACGAUCAGACACACUGGAACUGAGACACGGUCCAGACUCCUACGGGAGGCAGCAGUGGGGAAUUUUCCGCAAUGGGCGAAAGCCUGACGGAGCAAUACCGCGUGAGGGAUGAAUGCCUAUGGGUUGUAAACCUCUUUUUUUCAGGGAGGAAUCAAUGACGUGUACCUGAAGAAUAAGCAUCGGCUAACUCCGUGCCAGCAGCCGCGGUAAUACG
Molecule: ribosomal RNA, 425 nt
Filed under: uncultured bacterium
Lineage: Bacteria
Description: bacterial SSU rRNA
Rfam family: Bacterial small subunit ribosomal RNA
Source: RNAcentral